AAGUCCUAACAAGGUUUCCGUAGGUGAACCUGCGGAAGGAUCAUUAACACGUAUCCAACGUUAAAACAACACUGUGAACCUUCAUUCUUGCUCGCGUAGCCCAUGAAAGCAGCAAUCCCUGGUAAAUCAUUGACGACCAGCAGCAUUUUGAUUCAGGGACCUCUGCGAUUCAGUUACUCUCGUAUCGAUGCAAGCGACCUGACACCCCCAAGCAAUCAGAGUUCUGAAAGCGUUUUUGAUCGUGUAAGGGUGGCGCAAACACGAUCAUUGGAGGCCGACGACCGGGUCCCUGGGUCACCAUGCCCCUUAAUCACCACACUGUAACGCCGACAGGUCGCGAUAAUUCCGCUCCACAAAAAACCGAACAACUGUUAACAAUGGAUAUAUUGGUUCUCA
Molecule: unclassified non-coding RNA, 396 nt
Filed under: fungal sp.
Lineage: Eukaryota; Fungi
Description: partial internal transcribed spacer region
Rfam family: Eukaryotic small subunit ribosomal RNA (bases 1-46)
Source: RNAcentral